Molecule: small nucleolar RNA, 68 nt
Organism: Hevea brasiliensis (rubber tree)
Lineage: Eukaryota; Viridiplantae; Streptophyta; Magnoliopsida; Malpighiales; Euphorbiaceae
Product: small nucleolar RNA snoR60
Exons: 1
Source: RefSeq, a predicted model, not a curated record
UGCCAUUUGAUGAAGUUUUUGGAUUCCCCUUCUAGACGUGGGUGAUGCAAUCCCUAGUUCCUGAUGCU